Molecule: small RNA, 289 nt
Filed under: Nannospalax galili (Upper Galilee mountains blind mole rat)
Lineage: Eukaryota; Metazoa; Chordata; Mammalia; Rodentia; Spalacidae
Description: 7SK RNA (ENSNGAG00000007533.1)
Rfam family: 7SK RNA
About the family: 7SK was discovered as an abundant small nuclear RNA in the mid-70s but a possible function has only recently been suggested. Two independent studies have found that 7SK RNA binds the CDK9/cyclin T complex (known as elongation factor P-TEFb). P-TEFb activates transcription by phosphorylating the C-terminal domain of RNA polymerase II.
Source: RNAcentral
GAAUGUGAGGAUGAGCUGGCCAUGACAUCUGUCCACCCAUUCAUUGUUCAUCAGGGUUGAUUUGGUUGAUCUGGUUGACUAGGCAAGUGUCCCCUUCCUCCCUCACUACUCCAUGUGUGACCUUCCUGUAGCAUGCUCAGUUGAAGAGCAAGACCUUUCCAGAUAGAGGAAGACCAUUCUUCAGUCAAGAGUAUAGGAGUAGCCACACUUCUCUGCUAGAACCUCCAAAGAUGUGAACAGCACACGGAAUGGCGUCUUUAUUGUUGACUUCGGUGCUCCCCCUGCUGUC